UACGGAGGGGGCAAGCGUUGUUCGGAAUUACUGGGCGUAAAGGGCGCGUAGGCGGCCUGCUAAGUCGAACGUGAAAUCCCUGGGCUCAACCCAGGAACUGCGUCCGAUACUGGUUGGCUUGAAUCCGGGAGAGGGAUGCGGAAUUCCAGGUGUAGCGGUGAAAUGCGUAGAUAUCUGGAGGAACACCAGUAGCGAAGGCGGCUCGCUGGGCCAUUCCUGACGCUGAGACGCGAAAGCUAGGGGAGCGAACAGG
RNAcentral lists this ribosomal RNA (253 nucleotides) under uncultured bacterium. RNAcentral's name for it is "partial 16S ribosomal RNA". It matches the Rfam family "Bacterial small subunit ribosomal RNA", at positions 524 to 776 of the family's 1533-position model. The record is from RNAcentral.